UGGCUGGUAAAUUAAUAGUUUGAUUAUUGGUAUUUGUCGAGGACCUGCCGGAAGAAUUUACUGGCCAGAGGCCGUGUAGGACGAAUUUUGAUGGAUUUAUUCUGCAGGGCUCUGGCCUAUGAACCUGGCAGUACACAGGUGGCCACGUCUGGACUAGAAAAUAUUGACGAAAAUCUUGUGCACCACCGGAGGCGAAUGCGAUGCAGGAAACAGAGAAAACAAAGAAGAUGAACGAGAAACUACUCUUCAUUUUGAUUAACAUUAAUUUGACAAUACUAAAAUGCAUAAGAGUAUAACUGACACAUAAAUAGAUAAUAUUAAGCAGUGGUAUGAUAAAAGGAAGAUGGGUGCAUGUACAAACUAAUUAAUGUCAUCAUAAAUAAUUUUAAUAAGGACCAUCCCCCCCUGCUUAAUUUGUUUUCUUUUUGUUUUGGGAUAAAUUGGUAAUUUUCACUUCAUUCCUUGACAGCUGUUGACCUAUUUUUUUUUUCCCUCCCUAAACAAACUAAUUCCAUUGUAAAAACUGAAUCCUAAAAAUCAUCCGAAACACACAACUCCAAUUAUCAUUCGGACCAUAGAAUUUUCUCUUAUUUUGAGCAUCUCUUCCCAUAAUUAACUUGUGGUUCCCCUCUAUCGCAUUCUUCUAUUAUAAAGCAUUUUAGAUGUUACAUUAUAGAAUCAAAAUUACUGAUUAUAUUUACAAUCAGGAAGAGAUAAUAAUGUUGACAACCAAUAUCAAUUCUUUUCCCGAAGAUAUAACGAUUGAAAUUCUGUCAAGAUUGCCAGCUAAAUUUGUUUUGCGAUUCAGGUGCGUUUGCAAGUCCUGGCUUGAGUUAACUAAGAAACCUUCUUUCAUUUCCAAACAUUUCCAAAACAACAGUACUAAAACUCGUCUUUUCGUUGAUGCAUUUGUUACUUCUACGGUAGUUGGUGAGGGAAUUGUUACAUCAGCUUUGUACUUAUUCCAUGAUGAAAAACUUGCAAAUUUAUCAUAUGAAGACAUUAAACCCCAAAUUCAUGAUAAAUUUGUGGGCUAUCAUGAUGGUUUAUUUUGCAUAAUGCAGAGUUCAACGAAUCGUCUAACUAUAUGGAAUCCAGCAACAAGAGAAUUUAGAAACCUUCCAAAUUAUAAAUAUUGUAAUUCUUCCAACCGUUUAAUACCUCCUAGUACUUUCAUCUGUCUUGAAUCUGAUCCCAUAAAUAAUGACUUUAAAUUGCUUUUCGUACACAACUUAUGGAAUGAGAAAAGGAAAAGGUAUGGUAAGGUGCCUAAUGUUCAAGUGUACGGAUUCAGAACAAAUAGUUGGAGAGAAGUACAUGGUCAUCAAUUGGAUCGUUAUUUUGUAUUAAACGGAGGUCAAUUUGGUACGUCCACAUACUUGAAGAAAGUUUGUUAUUGGUUGGUAAUCGCGGAUACUCGAGACCUAAAAGUGAUUCUUUCAUUUCACAUGGAUAAUGAGGUGUUUGAAGAAAUAAAAAUACCUCCACAUGUAAAUUAUUACUCGUCUAUAAGUUUAUAUGAAGACUCUCUCUCAAUUGUAAUUCCAGACGCAGAGCAGUGUUUUGAGAUAUGGGUGAUGAAUGACAAUAAGUGUUGGGCAAAACAUUUAACCCUUGGACCUUUCUUCAAUUUUCGAACAAAUUUGGGAUUCUGGAAGAAUGAUGCUUUAUUUUUAGAUUUAAAUUCUGGGAUUUAUGGUGGUUGCCUUUUUUUACAUGAACAUCGUACGAAGGAAAUUAAGAAUCUCCAAGUCACAAAUCCCCAAUUUGUUGUCAUCUACAAAGAGAGUCUAAUGACUAUACAAUGAGAGGAAAAAUAUUGUAUGAUAAAUUGACCUAUAUUUCAUAAUUUCACAGAAUUUUUUAUUUUAUUUUUUUUGUUCAUCAUGAUCAAGAGCGCGUGGUAGAAAAUAUACGUGGAUGAUUGGUGAUUGGUCGGCUUUACAAUACCAAGGCCUCUGGCAAACUAUAAAUUAGGAUUUUACUUACGUAUUAUUAAAGAAAAAUUGUUUGGGGGUAAUAUAUAUGUAUUAUGUAAGAAUUUGUUGUUUAAUGUUGUCUUCCUUGCUUCUUCGAAUGAGAAAUAGGAGUCAACUUUUAACUACCAAAAAUCAAUAAUCAUUUAUAGCAGGAGUAGUGCUAUAUAUCCCAAAAUUUUUAUUUCAAAAAGCUAUCCUAAAGGACGUGGCAUUGAUCAAUUUUUUUGGUGAGAAGUAUACAAUUAAUUCGCUGGGAUCUUAUAAAGAAUUACCAACCAAUUAAUGAAUAACAUAUUAUUUGAGAUGUACUUUAGGAUAAAAAAAUUGAGAUAUCUAUCAUUACUCUUUAUAAUAGUCUUUCAUAUAAAAUUUUGUUGUUUCUUAAAAUAAAUUAAAAUCAUAAAAAAUAUUAUACAAAGGAAAAUUAGCAGCAACAAGGUCCAAACACUCCUAAAAUCGCGACAAUGCAAUCAGGGCUGCAGUCCGAUCCUUAUAAUGAGAAUGUAUUGAGUCCUGUUUACAAUCAAAAUGAAUUACCUAAAGUCUCAAGCUAGGUCCACAUCUACAAUAUUGUUAAUCAACAACAAGUAUCUUGGAGAAUAACUUGGCUUUCACUCACACUUCAUCAAAGGGAUCUUUUCAUUUAGAGACCUAACAUUCACAAUUUCUUAUUGUUAAUAACUCCUAUUUCUCAUUUAGAGAAGCAGGAAAAACAACCUUUAAGCAAUAAAUUUUUACAUAACACACAUUACCAAAAACAAUUACUCUUUAAUAAUAAAUAAGUAAAAUCCUAAUUUACAGUUUGCCUAAGGCCUUGGUAUUACCAAUCAUCCACGUACAUUUUCCACUACAUACUCUCAAUCAUGAUGAACCAAAAAAAAAAAAAAAAAAAAUUCGGUGGAAUUAUGAAAUUUAGGUCAAUUUAUCAUUCAGUGUUUUCCUCCAAUUGUCUAUUAAUUUUUGGAGAUGAAAACGUGUUUUGGUUCUAUGAUUUGGAGAUCCCUAAUCUCUUUCUUACUAUGUUCAUAUAAAAGAAGGCCACGUAGAAUAAGGUGACCAUGAUUAAACCUAUAUUCUAAAGAAAGCACAUCAUUCUUACAUAAUCCAUGAUAUGUGGGAGUAUUGCAGAAAAGUCCGAAGGUUAAAUGUUUUGCCCAAUACUUAAUGUCAUUCAUCACCCAUCCCUCAAAACAAUUAUGUGUAUCUGGAAUUACAAUUGACAAAGAGUCUUUAUAGAAACAAAGCUCGGUGUAAUCAUUUACUCGUGGAGGUAUUUGUAUUUUGUAUUUCUUGAAACACCUCAUCAUCCACGUGAAAUGAUAGAAUCACUGUUUGGUCUCGAGAAUGUGAGAUUACCAACCAAUAACAAACUGUCGUCAAGUACGCGUACUUGCCAAAUUCUCCAUUUAAUUAAAAAAUAACGAUCCAAAUAUUUACCUCCAACUACUCAUUCUCAAUGUGUACUCUUGACCAUUUGACACCUUACUAUACUUUUUUUUUUGUUCUCAUGCCUUUAGUCGUGAACCAAAACCAACUUCAAGUCAUUUAUUAUGGGAUUAGAUUUAAAACUGUUAGGAUUGUAGUUGUAAUUGGAGUCAAUCUUGUAUUUAGCUGGCAUAAUAUUCUUGUAAUAUUCUCUUUUUUAUUCUUGGUAUGUAAAUAAGUUAGUUUAGGAAGGUUGAUUGAUUGUAGGAAGUCUAGCUUGAUUUAUGGAGAACAGUAUAGAUGUAAUCUUUUAUAUAUAUGUACAGGAUGGAAUGGCAGAGAAGCGAUUCUCACCACACCAAAAUUAGUUUGUUCAUGGUAUCAAUCAAAGGUGAGUGAUGAACAAGUGAGAAAUCAGAUUUCGCCAUAUUGCCCCCAAGUAAGUGAUAAUUGUUGAGUCUUAGAAAAUAUAUAUUUAUAAAGGAGAAAAUCGUCAUUUUACAUUUCAAGUCUUAUUAACAUCCUUACUUUUAUGUAUUUACGCUUCUUGUGAUUUAAUUAUGUGUGUCUUAUUUUAAUUAAGUAUUUUAUGUAUUUUAGGGGCAUCAUGGUCAUUUCACAAUGAACGAGAGAUCAGACGGCAAAACAGACAUUACUUUUGAACUUAGGAUAGUCGAAAACCUAAAGAGCAGCAUAAAAGGAAAAAUGGCACUGUUCACAUGUACGAUACUGUUCACGACACUGCUCACAUAGACGGAUCGAUGAUGUGGCAUUGACUGAUGAGGUGUCACGAUCCUGUUGGACUAAAAUUCUUAUGUACUGUUUAUCGGUGACGUGGCAGAAUGUUAGUGGACCAAAAAUUAUGCAUACGGUACAUGCGUAUACACAAGAUUAUUUUCAACCAAACUGCAUCACUGUUCAAACCGUGUCACUAUUCAAAUCGCGUGGUCAAACCGUGUCAUUGUUGAUAACUCUAGGAAAUGAGAGUUAUUACAUCUAUUCUAGACUUGAAUAAAGUCCAUUUAGAAAGCAAAUAAUGUAUUUUGAUUACAUUUUGACGAAUUUUUGCAUAAAUAUUCAUUUUAGUUGAGUCUUAACAAGUUUUGCGUGAAUCAUAGUAAUUUGUGCUAAAAACAGGUUUUAAUUUGUAGGUUUUAAAUUCAUAAAAGGAUGCGAAGACAUUAGAUGAGAAAGAGGAGGAAAGAAGAUGACCACAAAAGAAGGAAAGCACAAUCGGAAAUGACACAAGUGCCGUGGCGGAUGUUAGAGCAACCAAUGCUGCAGCAAUCUGGGAGAAACGCGGGAGAAAAUAUAGGCGCGGGUCUGCAAUUAAAUUACAAGCUGCAUGUUUCCUAAUUUAAACAUAGGCACGCGCAUGAGUGUUGGUUCGGAAAACCUAAUUUGCAAGUAUAUAAAGGAGGCAUGCACCACAAAGAAUGGCAGAGUGGAAUAAGCAUUCAAAAACAAUUACAAAGGCAAGAAGAAGAUCAAGAGUAAGGAGGGCUGUUCGGCAUCAUUGAAGAGGAGGAUCUUUAAACUUUCAUCGUGCUCCACUCAUAUUAUCUUUCUUCCUUUGAUUUAUUGGAUGUAUUUUGCGAUCAGUAUAUUUAUGUUUAUUUUUCUCAUUCAGAACAUGAACUGAAUUUACUUGUAGUUGAUUGACAAAUAUCCACCCCUACUUAGCAUUUAGCAGUCAACGUUAUUUUGAGAAAAUAAUUGUUGUAAAAGUUUAGUUUCGAGACAAUAAGUCGUCCAUGUGCGUUUAUCAAUUGAGAAUCAGAAUUAAAAUAAGUUUUUUAUUUAACUUUUAGAAUUAGAGUUGGAAUAGGCUGUAUCCUCAUCAUUGGUAUGUCUACUUUGUCAAGGAUCAGAAUGAAUCGUUGCAAGUUAAUUACCAAAAUGUCUUUAGUUAAUUAUUAUCCUCAGUAUUAUAUCUAUUAUAACAGUAACAAUAACAAUGAUUAAAAAAAAUAGUAAUAACAACAACAAUAACAAUAAUAAUAUCUUAACCGGCUCAUAGGCUUUAGAUAAAACAAUUGUUUAAUGUUUUGUAGACAAACAACUAGUUGUACCUAAGAGAAAGAAGUAGAUGACAUGUCUUCCGAUACUUUCAUAUAACUGACAUGUGUAAAUAAUAUGUGCCGGUGCAUAUGCUAGCUGACAUGUGUUUUAUUUUUUAAAAUGUAACCGACAUGUCAUAUAUUUCAUAUAUAAGACAAAGACAUGAUGUCUGUUUAUUUUCUUGACAAAUAACACCUCAUCUUUAAUGUUGAAUUCCAAACGAUUUUAAUAAAAGUAAGAGAUUGUUUGUUUUUCAAUAGUUGCUUGAAUAAUAAUCCUUACAAUUGUAAUUGUAAAAAAAAAGAAUAAAAAAUAUGAGUGAUCACAACCUUUAAGUUCUAAUUUUGAGUCCCAACUACUAUGGGUCACUCAUCUACUAGAUCAUGAAUUUUAUAAUUUAUAACUUACAUAUUUAUCAUCUAAUAGAUAUGUUACUCAAUUUUAAGGUAACUAUAAUAAGAAUUCCAAUUACAACAGUGACUAUUGAUUACAAUUAAAGUUGUAAUUACGAUUAUGUAUAAUUUUUUAUUAAAAUUAUAUAAAAUAUGCUAUUUUAAUUAGUUAACUGGUAAGUACUAAACCCAAAUAACCAUUUAAUAGAUUUUCAUAUUCAAAUUUAUUGAUUUCUUAAAUUAAAAAAAGAAAACUACAUAAUAUCAUAUGAAACAGAAAUCAAUGAUUGCCUUCUAUCUAUAAUGUUCUUCAAUUACAAAUGAACAACAUUAACUCAUUAAUCUUGCAUUUAGUCAUAAUCAAAUGGGAAUUAGAUUGAUGGGUGGGGCACACUUGAGCUAUUUGAAUUUCUUCUGCACUAUUUCAUGUAAAAACAUGUAUUUAUAAGCAAUAUUUUAAAAUUUUAAAAUCUUAAAAUUAACUCAAUUAUGUCAUUCUCUAAUUUAAGGUUGCAUUUUCUCCCUCAAAAUUGUCAGAUCCUACAAACUAAAUUUUCACUUUCACUCAAUGUUGGACAUUGAUUCUUAAUCUUUUUUAGUAAAUCAUAAUUACAUCUUCAGUUUGUUCCAAGGUUUUUAGUAAAUCUAAUUAUAUAUUACUUUUUCAUUUCAAAGAUAUCGAAGUAAAAAAAAUUAAAAAAAAAGAUAUCAAGGCAAAAAUAAUUUUUUAUGGUGAAAACACUUGAAACUUUCAAUUUGUGAUGGCCUAUGUAGAAUAUGUGGAUCUGGAUUUGCCCAUUUAUGAGAGACAAGCAUUAACAUUCGCUUGUAGGGGUGGCAAAAUGAAAAAUCGAAUCGAAUCGAAUUUUAAACGAAUUGGGUCAAAAUUUUGUGGAUUCGGAUUUGAUUUGUUUAUUAAACGAAUUAAAAUCUCAGGAUUCGAAUUAGAUUCGUUUAUUAAACGAUUAUUUAGUUUAAUUCAUUUAAUAGAUUAAUAAAAGAAUUGAAUCAAAUUCAAAUUCAUUUAUUAUUAAUUUAUCCUAAUAAUAAAUGAAUCCAUAACUAAUCGAAUUGAAUAUGAAUUUGUUUACAAAAGUUAAAUAAAUAAUCCAAACCAUAAAAGUUUUCAUCUUAUUUAUAUAUUGUGUUAUUAUUAUUUAUAAUUACUAGAUUAACCUUCAAAUUUUUAAUUUUUUUAUAAAUAUUUAAGAAUAAAUAAGUAAUUUAAUUAAACGAAUAAAUUGUAUUCGGUUCGUUUAUAACCCAUUUAUUAAAUGAAUACUAAACGAAUAAACGAAUCAAUGUCUUCAAACCUGAAUUCAAUUCGUUUAAUUAACGAAUCGAACUGAAUUCACCAAUUUAUAAACGAAUCAAAAUUUUCAAACCCAAACGCGUUUAAUUCACUUCAAAUUGAAUCGAAUAAACGAAUCUUGGUCCAAAUUGCCGCCCCUAGUCGCUUGCAAGAGAACAUUGAAAGAAAAUAUGUUGAGUGGUGAGAAUAUGAUGAAUUGGAAACCGAAAAUAAAGGUUGAUUAGAUAAUUUCAUUUAAAAAAUAUUUUGGCAAAAAAAAAAAAAACUAAGAAAAGGAUGUUAAAAGGAAAUUGGUGGGUUAUUUGAAAUAGUCCCAUCAAAAUAUGAUAUACAUAAUUUCUUAAGAAAGUUAAUUUUAGGAAAAAAAAUUAUUAACAUGAUCUAAGUUGCCAAAUUAUUUGUGAUAUUUUUUUGAGAUAAAAAUUUAUGAUGUGUAAUACUACUCUUUUUUAUGCUGCGUUUACUUUUUAGAUUGGAGUGAGAAUCCUGAGGAGUGGGAAUCCUUGGAUUAGGAGUGUGGAGUGGGAGUGGGAGUAGGGUGUUUACUUAGGCUAAAUAAAAGUAUGGAUUGUCAAUCAGAAUCCUAAUUAUUUGUUUACUUUGUCUUGGAUUGGGAGUAAAUUGUUUUAAAUUACAAUUUUAUCCUUAUGUACAGAAUUAUAAUUUGUAAUUAAAAAAUUAAUAAAAAAUAUAUUUGGAAAAUAAAAUAAAUAUUUUAUUAUAUUUAUAAAUUAAUAAUAAUUACUAAUAUUCUUAAUUAUGUAAAUCAUAAUUUUUUAUUAAUUUUAAUUUAAAUUAUGUGAAUAAAAAUUAUUAAUAAUAGCAACACAAAUGAAAUAUUAUUAUUGAUAAUAUAGUACAAAAUUAAUAUUUUUUUAGAAUAAAAUAUUUGUUAUUAUUAAUUAAAUAAAUAAUUAAUAUUUAUUAAAAUUAAUGUUUAAUAUUAUUAAUUUAAAUAUAAUAUUUAUUUAUUUUUAUUUUAUUAAAUUUAAUAAAAUAAAUUUGAUAUAAUUAUUAUUUUUAAUAAAUAUGAUAUUAUUUAUUUUAUUAAAUAUGAUAUUAUUUUAUUUUAUUAAAUAUGAUAUUAUUUAUUUUAUUAAAUAUUAUUUAUUUAUUUAUUUUUAUAAGGAUAAAAUGGGAAGAGGGGGGAGUGGAUUCCCACUCCCACCUCCCCCCAUGGGAGUGAGAAUCCCACUCCCCACUCUAAAAUUGGGUGGGACCCACAGAUUCCCACUCCCCUUUUUUAAUGUAAGUAAACACUGGAGUGGGAGGAACCCACACUCCACACUCCACACUCCCACUCCAGAAAGUAAACAAUACCUUAAUUGAAAAAUGAUUGAUGACAUAUCCAUAGCUAUUUGUUUACUUCAUUUUUAUGAUAAUGUAAUUGUAGAAGAAUUACUCAUCUUCGUAUUUUACAUAUGCUUAAAAUUAAAUAAAAUUCUCUAUAAAUUAUUAUAUCUCUUAUUUAUUUUAUUUCUUUCUCUUGUUAUAUUGCUAGGCUCCAAGUUGAAAACUAAUUUAACAAAAGUUUUAUUUCUUAAUAAUUUUUUUUUAACUUCUUUUCAAUAAUUAUGGAAUUAAAUUUCUAACCGUUUUGUUAGCGGUUUGGAGAAACCCGAAAUGGAAAAAUCCCUUGAACCGUCCGGUCCAAUUCCAUCACACCGAACCGACGUCGUUCCAUCAACACGUCCACAAACCGAAUUGCACUUCAAAGGUUUAACAGCUUUGUUCCCCCAAUCUCACUCUUUCUUCGAAACGGCUACUUUGUUUCAAUUCAAUAAAACAAUCAACAAAUCAAGCCAAUAAUUUAUGCCAAUAAAGAACAAAUGGAGACUCAUUUCACUCACAGUUACUUCGAAAGACGACCAAUUGUCAAAUCCAAGACUCCGGCUGUUAAAUGGUUCAGAGAAUGGUAAUUUUGGCCAAAUUAGCCAAUUCCCUUUUCUUAAUUCUUUCAAGUUUCCUAUUUUUUAAUUCAAGUUUCAAUUUUUAUUUUUUCAAUGCGAAGCAAUUUUCUUAUUUAUUUAUUAUUAUUAUUUUCCUUGAAGGGUGCCCCAAGAUAUUGCGGCUACUGGUGGGAAGUGCCAGAUUUUGAGGUGGGUAAAUGCUAAGUGAUUUUUAUACAUUCUUAUGCUAACAAAAAACAUUUCGUUGAAUUUAAAUUUAAAUUUUAAAUUUUUUUGGUUUUUUUAUAUGUUGUUAUUUGUUAAUAACUGUUGUUUGAUUCAACUUGUAUGAAAGUUAAAUAAGUUAGUGUGUGGUGAAGAAAUAAAUGAAAACUAAGUUGAAGAAAUAAAUGGAAACUAAGUUGAACAGCAUUUAGAGUACCUAAUUUAAAUGCUUCUUCUUCUUUGCUUUGAAUGGGAAAUUCUGAGAAUUUUGUAUGUUUGCAAAUUUUGUUGCAAUUACAACUUAUUGGGCUAUGGUCACAAAGUCUCCAUAGGCUAUUCUAGUCCAAAGAGGUGGAAUCGGGAUUUCUUUUGUUAUUUUCAUUUUUUUGGGUGCUUAAGGAAUUCGAUAUCUUUGAGGAUCAGUUUGUUGUGAAUUGGAUGAGAUUAAUAUUCAAGAUUAUGAAUGGAGAAGAUGAUACAAUUUAUCCUUUUAAACAUGCCAUUAGAACAUUAGUUUUUUUUUAAAAAAUAAAUAAAGUGUAUUUUUUCAUUUUAUUUGGAAGUUUAAAUGAUUGUAGGGUUUUCCAUAUUUUUGCUUUGCUGCUUUUGUGUGAAUACCAUGUAACUCUAUGAGCAACAUUGUUUUAAGGUAGCAUGCUGUAUUUGAUGAGUAUAUCUUGCUAGCUAGUGGUUAUCAGUUCUUUCUGUUAUCUGUUGUUAAGCUUUCACACUAUUUUGUCGGUUGUAGAUUCUCAUUUGCAUUUUUGUUUCUUUCUGUGAGUAGUGCACUACAUCUGAUGUGCUAAUGGUCUUUCAACUUGCUUUUGAUUCAAUAAUGGAAGCUUUGGCAUUUAAAUUUCCAUAGUUUCCAUUAGAUUCAGGGGAGCCAUGUCAGAGUUUUGUAAGAGGAGAAAUCUUUAGAUGGCUUUGUGUCAAAAUUUACUUUUAAGGAAUUCUCAUGUUCAUUUAUUCCCAAUAUUUUAUGUCCUCCGUCCGUUUGUGUUCAGAGAAAAUGUUGAAGGCCUUAAAGGAGAAGGCAAAAGAGCCAGAGGCACCAGAGCCGGAGCCAGAACCUACCACUGAAGUUCUAUUUCUAUGCAGCUAUGAAGGCUGUGGGAAGACAUUUAUCGAUGCUGCCUCUUUGAGAAAGCAUGCUCGCAUUCAUGGAGAGAGACAAUAUCAGUGUCACUAUGAAGGAUGUGGAAAGGUAAGACAUGACGUAUUUAAUGAAGUUUUUAAUAUUUCAUUCAUGAUUUCUUUAGACUGCUUAAAAUCAUGAGAUUCAUCAUACUUCUUGAGGUUUAAAAUAUGAUAAUAGUUUAAAAAAGAAAAGGAAACUAUUAUAUGUAUGCGUAGAGACAAGCUGUUGUGUCUGAUCUUGGACAUACUAUCCAACAUGGCCUCUCUAAAAAUUGUGGGAUGUUGGAUUAAACAAAGUGAGGAAUUUGGGUUUGUGGCUGAGGGCGGGAGUGUUUCUGAGUUGUAAAAAUUUGGGGAACUUCAUGUGUAUGAAAGCAAUUUGCAUCGAUGAUUUGAGUGGGGAAGCAAAGGUACUAUUGAGAAUCAGGUGCUAUCACCAAAUAUUUUUUCUUUUGGUGGGUCUUUUUGUGCGGCUAGUUCAAACCCUCUGGUUAAAUAAGAUCUGUCAGUCUGGUUUGGGACUGAAGGUGGUCCAGCCUUGUUCAUGUACAGUCUUUUGUAAACAAUCCUCAAAUUGUUUUCUUGGUAUAUUUAUGUUAUGUUAAAGGCUAAGCCUCAUCACUUUUUUUAUUUCUCUUUUUCUUGAAUUUUUUUUUAAUUGAUGUCGUUCUUUCAGGCAUAUAAAAAAUGGUUUUUGAAGUAAUUUUGUACUUUUUGAUGCAGAAAUUUUUGGAUAGUUCGAAGUUAAAAAGACACUUUCUUAUUCAUACUGGAGAAAGAGAUUACGUAUGUCCUCAUGAAGGCUGUGGUAAGGUGAAGAAUCUAUCCAUCCUAAAGCAUUUUGUCAAAACUUUGCCGAGGCUACCUUAUCUUUUUCUUUUUUCUUAUUGCUGACAUUAUCAUAAGAUAUGAGAAAUAUUAUACAUUUGUUUUCUGCCUGAAACAUUUCUAUUUGAUGAUUGAUUCCAUUGUCUUAUGGUCCCUUGCCCACAAUUUUAAAAUUUUAGGUCAUUUGGUAAAUAAUAUUAAUACCUUGGAUGUUUAAUAAUAUUUUGAAAAGAGAAGUACAGUUUGUUGUACCCUGUGAUUGCUGAGGACAUCAUGGGUUUUAGUAAGCAAGAUUCUGUGAGACGCUUUGAUUGCCAUACAAUAUUAAGUGUCAUGUAUCCAAUCCAGGGGGACCCAAUGAUGUUGAAGUCUCAGGCUGGCAAGUGGAGGAUCAUGGAGUUCAGUCUUGAGAAAUGCCACUAUGCAAAAGCCACUUAGGGGUAUUAGUGUAUUUGGAAUCCCCCUAUAACCUUGUUUUAUUUGGACCGACUCUCUGUGAAGACCUCUCCCAUUAUUAUUGAGAAUGAAUGUUCGGUACUUAAUAUCAGGGUUGGUUGUAUUGUAACUUGGAUGGAUCAAAUAUGAGAGACUCAUGUUUUUUCAUCAUCUUGUAAAGGGCAUAGUGCUAAUCUUACCUUGAGGUUGCCGUUUUGGCUUAAGAUGUUACUUUAUUGUACAUUUCUGUAUGUGCACACACUUGUACUUGUACCCAGCAUUUGUGGUGUUCCUAAUUACAAAUAUGAAAUAUGCAGGCGUUCUCUUUGGACUUCAACCUGAGAUCACACAUGAAAACACAUUCACAAGAAAAUUAUCACAUCUGCCCAUACCCAGAUUGUGGAAAGAGAUAUGCUCAUGAGUACAAGUUAAAGAAUCAUAUUGCAUCUCACCACGAAAAGGUUGGUGCUAUUUCCUUGCUGUUACUAUUUUGCAGUACCAACGCCUUUUUAGUAUUUUUCUUUGCUAUUUUAGAUAUUUUUCCUGCUUUUUUUGUUGCAUUUUAAGUUAAUUCCUUUCAUAGAACAUAUCUUAUAUAGUUUAUGACGUUUAAAGCAACAUGACUUCGGUUUCAUCUCAGAUUAUAUUAGUCAUCUGUCAAAAGGAAUUUUACUUAUUUCUUUUCUAAAGAUAUCCUUCAAGUCUGUUAACAAUGGCAACAUAUGAAUGUUUGUGUUCUAGUGGAAUUGUAUUCAUUUCACCUUUAGUAUGGUCAUAGUACAAAUGGUUAUUAUUAUCACUGAAAGAUGUAGUACAGAAACCAUCUGCUAUUUUUCUUAAAACUCUUAAGAUCAUCCCAUGUGUCGCUGGUUGACUUCACUGUAGAUCUAGAAUGGUUAUCAUAAUUAUGUUCUUUUUAUUUUUUUAAUUUUAUUUGAUAUACAUAGGACAUCAAAAUACCAUUCUGCCAACAUGAAUUUCAGAAAUUGAUUGCCAUGAAGCAAAGAUCGUCUGUAUAUAUAUUUUCUCUCAAAACUCGUAUAUCAUAUCUGAUUCUUAGUUUCGAGAUUUGAUUUCUCAGAAUGCUGCAGUGGAGGUGCCCAGAUACGCUACUCCUCCCGAGAGGAUAACAAAAACUCCCAAGCCACCUGCUGGGGUUUAUGGUUCUGCAUCAUCUGAACGUCCUUAUGCAUGUCCUUAUGAAGGGUGUGAAAAGGCAUAUAUCCAUGAAUACAAGCUUAAACUCCAUCUGAAGCGGGAGCAUCCUGGCCAUAUGUCUGAUGAAAAUGCCGAGAAUGCCACAACUAAUGCUGAUAAUGAGAUGGAUGAAGGCAGUGACCAAGAUGCCUAUGCUGGAAAACGUGUUAAUGGUAAAAGUCAAAAACAAAGCCGGGCGAAGCCAAACUUGAAGAUGCCUCCUGCAAAAGUAACGCAACGCAAAAGCUCAACUCCAUCUCCUGCCACCUUGAAUGUAGUGAGAAAGCAACAAUGGACUCCUAAAGAAGAAGUUUACGAGGAAGAAGAGAGUGAAGAAACUGAGGAAGAUCGUGACAAUGUUGAGGAUGGAUUUAGGUACAGGCAAAAUAAUGAAGAUGAUGAUGAGGAGACUGAGUACGAAGACUGAAGCAUAUAAAAAUGUUUCCUUCACCCUUCUGGUAAGGGCACCUUGUAUGUAUCUAACCCUUACAAACAGGUUCUCUGUCAUCUUUUAUCUGCUUGCUUUCAGCAUCUUUUUUUCUCUCAUUGCAGCAUAUAAAUAAAGUUAAAAAUUUUUAAUUUUAAAAUAUUGGUGAUUCGCUAAAGAAUUUCAUAUGACGAAUUUGUGAAUUUUUCAUCUUGGGAUAAACACAAAGCUGAUGCAAUCAACUCAUCAUGCCAAAAUUUAUGCACCUGAGCCGCAUAAGAGACUUGACUGGUAAGUUUGACAAAAUUUCAAUCGUUAUAUCAUCAGAACAUAAAUGAUUUGAAAGAGAGGGGAGACCACAACAUGAAUAAGUUAAUCAGUUAGUGUCAUAAAGAGAGAUUUGGAUUCAUUAAUUGUUGACUUUUGUGCUGGCUCUAACAAAGCUUUGAUCAUAAAUUGGCAAUCCAUUUGGAAAUAAUUUUCAACCCCCAACCUAUAGCCCAUCAAUCACCCACUUGUAAUUUCCCAGGCAUGUAGAGCGUAAACCAUUUUACGAGGCAAUGCAUGUAGAACUUAAAUCUAAGAUAUGCCAUGAAAAUUGGAAAAAUUAGGAUAAUUUAUCUUCUCUCUUUUUAAUAUUCCUUUAUUUAAAAAAAAAUUGGAUAGGGAUAGAAAUUUCACCCACUACACACUAAUCCUUGAUCCCAAAUCUACUUGUAUUAAUGUUUAUAAUUAAUUUCUUCUAUUUAAUACUAGUUAAUAAGGCUCCAUAGGUAAGUGCAAUAAGGUUUCGUGCAUUGGAACCCAUGGUUAUCGACCUGAAUCCAUUAGUAUGGAUCAUUUUCUUUUCCAAUUGAAAUCCAUUAGUAUAUGGAAGAGUGAAAAAGUACUUUCGUUGUUUUGGAAUAAGAAGUCUUCGUAUCUUAAUGCAUGUAUUUAAUGUAUUCGGGACUAUUAGAACUUAUUACUCAAACUUAAGUUAUUGUAAUUGCAAUAAAUAUUCAUGGCUGGUUGAGCUACACCCAAGAGGCUCUUUAUCCUCUCAUUAUAUUGUCAUUAGACUCUCUUUGUAAAUAAAAACAUCAUCCGGAUUGGUAAUUUAGAGAUCCCUAAUUUCUUAUGUAUGAAUUCAACAUAUAUAGAUUUUUAAAUAAAUGCGCCAUUCUUCCACAAUCCAUAAUGUCUAGGAAUACUGAAGAAAGGUCCAAUACUAAAUAGCGAUCCAUUUGACGAUCACAUAUUUCUUCAACUAUUUCUUCUGGAUGUGUACACUUGAUCAUUCGACAACUUACCGUACUUUCUCAUCCCACGAGUCUUGAACCAAUAAUCAACUUAAAAGAACCACUCGGCUCAGCCCGAGUGGCCAGGGCUGCUGCCCUCCAACUUGGAGGGCAGCAGUUCGAACCCUAACAAAAGCAUUGUGGGGGUAUUUCCUUCCUCAAUUAAUUGAGUGAAGGUAGUCUUCUUCCUUACUCAUGAGUGAGGAGUAGACAUCCCUCGAAUAUUUGUGAGGGUUAAAAUCUGGGCAGAGCUCUAUUAACAUUGAUGUAAGUUGGUCCCAGUAAUAGUCUGAUUUGUAAAUAUAAGUUAUAAUCUCAUGUAAUAUGAGUUGUAAUCUGAGCAAUAGUCUCAUGUAAUAAAAAAAAAAAAAAAUAAUCAACUUAAAAGUCAUUGUAUAAUAUGCAAAAUAAACCAUCAUAUUAGUCCACGAAAUUGUCAAAACGUCUUAUAAUUUGGCUUUCAAUAUCUUCAUAUGAUAAAUUAACUUGUAAGCGUUUCAUCCUGGAAUAAAUACGAAGCUGAUGCAAUAAUUUCCUUACCAAAUUCCACAGAAUCAACGAAUGCAUUAAUAAAAAGACGAGUUUCAGCAUUGUUGUUCUGGAGAUGUGAGAUUCGAAUCCCCGCACAUGAGUAGCCUGGGAAUUGGAUUGCCGUUACCUAAAUUAACCCAAAAAAAAAAGCUUAAUUUAUUCUUAUUUGAAUUCUUUUUCUAUCAAUUUAAAUCACAUAAGUAGAUAUUUUGACCGAGUGUUUUUCAAUUAAUAUGAUUUGGUUGGCUAUUCGAGUUCGAUUAUAGGAGAGGUAAGGAGCUAAAAUUUUAAUUUGAACUCAGCUACCCCUCUAUCUUUUUAAAAGUACAAAAAUAAAUUUAACAAUCGUUUAAAUUUACAUAAUUUAAUUAUCUUUUGUUUCUUUGCCGUAUCAGCUGCUAUAGCGAGCAUAAGUGCAGGUGGUCAACAGUGAACAGCAACACGGUUGCACACGGUGAAUAGUAACACGGUUUGAAUAAUAAUGCGGUUUGAACAAUAACGCAGUUUAAACAGUAACACAAUUUGAACAGUGUUAUACGUUUGGUUAUAAAUAGAGAGGAGAGGUUAGAGCUUGAAUCAUCCCAAUUUUGAGAGCAAUUGCAAGUGAAACAAUUUGAGAGUUUUGAGAGAGCUUUUACUUGAGCGCUAGGAGAAUUCAAUUAGGUGUAUUGGAGUUGUGGGUAUUGAAAGUUUUUUUCCCACUUUUGUAGAAUUCUAAAAUUAUCUUCCAGUCUUUUUUCCGUGGACAUAGGAAUUACGCCGAAAUAAAUUAUUGUGUCAUUUUCUUUGCAUUUGUUUACAUCACAUUUAUAUUUCUCUAGAAAUUACAAUGUCUGUAAUAUUGGUAAUUGCUCAACCCUGUACUUCUGCAACAAGUCAAACAUUCAUAGAAAUAAAAUAUUAAAUUAAAUUGAGGGAAAAAAAAUUUACAGUGAUUUAUUCUUGUUAUUUCAUCAUCCAUCCAACCGUGGACAACUCAAGGACUCGGCAAUAAAGCUGUUGUAUUACCUACCGUCUACCCAAGAAGAAAGCCCUCGUUUAGCGAAUGAGACUAUUUAAUCCACCAAAUUAAGUAGUCUUCAAACUUAAUUUCUCAAGAGGGGGAAAAAAACCUAUUAGUCAAGCGGGGAUCAAGGAUCCUCAUCCCACCCUGAAUUAAUUAUGAUGGGAUAGGUACGAGGACGCCGAUCCCCUCCCCUCCCCUCACAACUACCAUCCUAAUAAUAACGAUUCUGGACACCUCGCAUGUCUUCCACCUCUUCCUCGUAUUCUCCAUAAUUUACUUGAUUGAAAGUUUUAAAUUUCCAUUUCGAUUGGCUUUUCAGUCUCGUUAGGACAUAUUCUUCGAUCCAGCAAUGCUACGGAACCUACCAAUAUUUUGAUCGCACCGAUACGUGGUUGAUCGUGAUCCGGCCUGUUCCCUCGCAUUGCAACAAAAUUAAACUUGUAGCUUUAGAAUCAACGCGUAGAAUGACCUCCAUUAGCAGAUAAUCAUUCAAGCAUUUAAGAAUUGGCCUAUUGCCGUGUCUGGCAUUUAAGAAUCAACGCAUACUUGAAUCGAUGAACAUGACACAAUAGCGAUAAAACAACUGUGAAAUAAUAAUAUGGUGUAAUAAUGUUAAGUAAGAAAUUAGGAAUUUUUUUUUUCUUGAACAACACUAUAACGGAACAUGAUCUUCUCCCGAUCUGAGCAUUACUGAGCUUUUAAUAAUCUUUUGUCAUGUGUCUUUUAGUGGUACUGUAUAGGUAAGAUUUAACUUUUUUAACUUUUUUAUUUAUUAACAACCAAUCAAUAAUUAAUUUAUUUGCUCAGGACAUGAUCAGAUCAGGAGAGAAUCCUGAUUACACUAUAACACCCUACGUUUUCACAAUCAUUUUGUCGCUGUUUUGUCACUGUUAGGACAAUUCUUCAUUUUUCCUGGCGUUUAUUGCUCAGUAUAUUUCUUUACUGUGUGAUUGUUUCCAUCUGAAUUAUUCCUUUAUUUCGUAAUGCAGCCUAUAAGUUCAAAGCUUUAACCAGGGUGAUAUAUGCUUGGAAAUAUUCCUCGCGUGGUGGGUUAUGUUGGCCUCUACCAUGUUUUCUGCCACCUUAUGCCUCAAAAAAUAUGUAUUUGACCUUCAACAGAGAUUUUGCCAGACCACAUCCAUUUCGUUAACCAAAGAUAUAUUCCUGCUUGGCUAGAAAAACAAAUUAAAUAGAGAAAACACAAUUCUAUAAUUAGAACUUAAUUAGAAGGAAGAAAUAAUUAACUAAUUAAUUGUAAUAUAUAUGAAAGAAGAUAAACUAGUAAGUGCUCGUGUCUAUGAUAAGGUGAGUACCUAAACACAUGAUAGAAUAAUUUUAUAACUCCUUGUAAAUUAUGGACUAAUAGGAUUAAGUGAACAGCGUCGCCUACUGAAUUAUUACAGACACAAAAAAUAUGUUUUAAUUUUGGAUCCUAAAUUUUGUUAAAGUUCGAAAAAAAAAAAAAAAACUGUUUGGUUUAAUAAUGUAAAGAUUAUUAAUACUAUUAAUCUUUAAGAUCCGAAAGACCCAACACAUUGCUACAGAGCCCAAAUAAUAUCUCCCACGCAAUUGGAUAGUGAACUCCGCUGAGCAAUGCACGGAACAAAAUUUCUAGCUUGAGUAUCAACACAUAGUGUCACCUCCAUUAGGAGAGACUUGUUCAAGCAUUUAUAAAGUGGCGUAGUACCGUUUCUGGCGACUAUUGCGAGAGUAUAAUUCCCUUCAGAGAGACCGUCUCCAUCUGGAUUUAUGCCUGCAUCUCGAAAUGCGGCCUCCAAGUUCACAGCUUUAGCCAGCGUGAUAGCAGUUCGAAAAUAUUCCUCGGGCGGCAGGUUAGGCUGGCCUCUGCCGUGAUGCUUCCACUCCCUCUUCCAAAACUGUUCAUUUUCAUUUCGGGUAAGACUUGGCCAGAACUUGUUCAUCUCGGCAGCAAAAGAUUUAUUGCUUUCUAGCUACAAAGAAAGAGUAAAAAUUAAUUAAUAAAUGACCGUAGAAUAAUGUAUAGGAAAAACUAUAUAUAUAGCCCAUGGGAGUGAAGCAGGUACCAUGGCUGGUACAUUAAUAGUUUGAUUAUUGGUAUUUGUCGAGGACCUGCCGGAAGAAUUUACUGGCCAGAGGCCGUGUAGGACGAAUUUUGAUGGCUUUAUUCUGCAGGGCUCUGGCCUCUGAACCUGGCAGUACACAGGUGGCCACGUCUGGACUAGAAAAUAUUGACGAAAAUCUUGUGCACCACCGGAGGCGAAUGCGAUGCAGGAAACAGAGAAAACAAAGAAGAUGAACGAGAAACUACUCUUCAUUUUGAUUAACAUUAAUUUGACAAUACUAAAAUGCAUAAGAGUAU
Molecule: long non-coding RNA, 18468 nt
Filed under: Citrus maxima (pomelo)
Lineage: Eukaryota; Viridiplantae; Streptophyta; Magnoliopsida; Sapindales; Rutaceae
Description: long non-coding RNA (CMAX_LNC001219)
Source: RNAcentral